CCUACGGGCGGCAGCAGUGGGGAAUAUUGGACAAUGGGGGGAACCCUGAUCCAGCCAUGCCGCGUGUGUGAAGAAGGCCCUCGGGUUUUAAAGCACUUUCAGUGAGGAAGAACGCCUGGUGGUUAAUACCCAUCAGGAAAGACAUCACUCACAGAAGAAGCACCGGCUAACUCCGUGCCAGCAGCCGCGGUAAUACGGAGGGUGCGAGCGUUAAUCGGAAUUACUGGGCGUAAAGCGCGCGUAGGUGGCUUGAUAAGCCGGUUGUGAAAGCCCCGGGCUCAACCUGGGAACGGCAUCCGGAACUGUCAAGCUAGAGUGCAGGAGAGGAAGGUAGAAUUCCCGGUGUAGCGGUGAAAUGCGUAGAGAUCGGGAGGAAUACCAGUGGCGAAGGCGGCCUUCUGGACUGACACUGACACUGAGGUGCGAAAGCGUGGGUAGCAAACAGGAUUAGAUACCCCGGUAGUC
Molecule: ribosomal RNA, 465 nt
Filed under: Vreelandella stevensii
Lineage: Bacteria; Pseudomonadati; Pseudomonadota; Gammaproteobacteria; Oceanospirillales; Halomonadaceae
Description: partial 16S ribosomal RNA
Rfam family: Bacterial small subunit ribosomal RNA
Source: RNAcentral